Sturnus vulgaris (Common starling) is the source of this 231-nucleotide non-coding RNA. The record is from RefSeq and is a predicted model, not a curated record. Lineage: Eukaryota; Metazoa; Chordata; Aves; Passeriformes; Sturnidae.
GCAAAACAAGUCCUGCUAAAUUUGCAGCCAUACAAAGUUGCCCGGGAGCAGUGCAUGAAGGCCUUGCAGAUCAACAAGUUACAGAAAUGGUCCGAUGACAAUUCCCUCAUUCCUGGAUCCACCUCAAGUUUGGUGAAGCCACUGGAGAUCCACGAAGAGACAACAGCAGAACUCGAACAUGAGGACAGUGACAUGGCACCAUGAAAAAAGGAAUAAAGACCUAGAAAUCCA